AGUGAACGCUGGCGGUAGGCCUAACACAUGCAAGUCGAACGGCAGCACAGUAAGAGCUUGCUCUUACGGGUGGCGAGUGGCGGACGGGUGAGGAAUACAUCGGAAUCUACUUUUUCGUGGGGGAUAACGUAGGGAAACUUACGCUAAUACCGCAUACGACCUACGGGUGAAAGCAGGGGAUCUUCGGACCUUGCGCGAUUGAAUGCGCCGAUGUCGGAUUAGCUAGUUGGCGGGGUAAAGGCCCACCAAGGCGACGAUCCGUAGCUGGUCUGAGAGGAUGAUCAGCCACACUGGAACUGAGACACGGUCCAGACUCCUACGGGAGGCAGCAGUGGGGAAUAUUGGACAAUGGGCGCAAGCCUGAUCCAGCCAGACCGCGUGGGUGAAGAAGGCCUUCGGGUUGUAAAGCCCUUUUGUUGGGAAAGAAAAGCAGCAGGUUAAUACCCCGCUGUUCUGACGGUACCCAAAGAAUAAGCACCGGCUAACUUCGUG
This 492-nucleotide ribosomal RNA is filed under the name uncultured bacterium. Its description in RNAcentral is "partial 16S ribosomal RNA". It matches the Rfam family "Bacterial small subunit ribosomal RNA", at positions 29 to 507 of the family's 1533-position model. The record is from RNAcentral.